AACAAAAAUACCUCAACAAAACCCUUUCAUCUCUUCUCUUCGUUGUAUUAUCCUAUCCUCUUCUCAGAUUCAGCUGCAUUCAUCGGGUGAAGAUUCACAAUAUGUGGAGCAGUUGUGGAAAUUAUUUUCGAGAAAAAAUGAUAUUGCAAUUGGGAACGUUGCGGAACUAGUGAAUCCCUUCGGAUACCAAGUUCUGCAGUACCCAGCAACAGUGAGCGGUGCAGUGAGCCAUAGAUGAUUGGCAUGUUGAAGAGCCAGGUAAAGGAUAUUGUCCAAAAAAAAAAAAAGCAAAUUGAAAGAGAAGAUGAAAGUAACAUCGGGUGACAAUUUUUUUAAAAGAGGGGCCAUGUUACCCUAAUUUAUAGGCUACAAUAUAAGGAGUUGGAAUAUGGUGCUGCAAAGCACUGUAUUUGCAACUGUUAUUAAUGUAGAAGUGGAACAUAUUUUUCUGGGUGGCUAUAAUAUAUGUUGAAUAAGUUCACUGA
Long non-coding RNA from Jatropha curcas, 485 nucleotides. RefSeq lists it as uncharacterized. NCBI's taxonomy places the organism in Eukaryota, Viridiplantae, Streptophyta, Magnoliopsida, Malpighiales, Euphorbiaceae. The record is from RefSeq and is a predicted model, not a curated record.